GAACCGAGGAGAUUCUGACAAAAAUGCAUUAGAAAUCUUGAAUACAGUGCUGAAAGACAUUGCCUGUAGAGGACAGUGCCAAAAUAUAAUCGCUAUCUGCACCAAAACAGACGAAUAUGGCAUUCAAAGUAAUCAUAAUGUACAUGGUAUUCCAAGACAAGCAAACUCAUGUAAUGACAAUACAUUCAAAGCAGAGAUUAUACGUAAAAGAAAUACUGGAAGUCAA
Long non-coding RNA from Polypterus senegalus (gray bichir), 226 nucleotides. RefSeq lists it as uncharacterized. The transcript is spliced from 3 exons. NCBI's taxonomy places the organism in Eukaryota, Metazoa, Chordata, Cladistia, Polypteriformes, Polypteridae. The record is from RefSeq and is a predicted model, not a curated record.